This 253-nucleotide ribosomal RNA is filed under the name uncultured bacterium. Its description in RNAcentral is "partial 16S ribosomal RNA". It matches the Rfam family "Bacterial small subunit ribosomal RNA", at positions 524 to 776 of the family's 1533-position model. The record is from RNAcentral.
GACGGGGGAUGCAAGCGUUAUCCGGAAUCACUGGGCGUAAAGCGUCUGUAGGUGGUGAUGCAAGUCACUGGUGCAAAACUCUGGCUCAACCGGAGGAAAGCCAGUGAAACUGCAUGACUAGAGUGUGGGAGAGGUAGAAGGAAUUCCCUGAGUAGCGGUGAAAUGCGUAGAUACAGGGAAGAACACCGGUGGCGAAAGCGUUCUACUGGAACACAACUGACACUGAGAGAGGCAAGCUAGGGGAGCGAAUGGG